CAAAACUAAAGCAGGAAAGAAAAGACAAAGUGGUGCUGCUACUAGUUCCAAAUUGUGUGUAUUUAUGUUGUUGCAGGAGCUCUAUGGAUCUCUUUUUGUUCAAGUUAAUUGGAUUAACUUUGGCUUUGUUUGUGUUCUUCUGAAAAUGAAGGUUCAGAAGAAACAGGACAACAUAAAAAGUAACUGCAGCUUCUAGCAUAACAU
Molecule: long non-coding RNA, 204 nt
Filed under: Musa acuminata (dwarf banana)
Lineage: Eukaryota; Viridiplantae; Streptophyta; Magnoliopsida; Zingiberales; Musaceae
Description: long non-coding RNA (MACU_LNC002126)
Source: RNAcentral